AUUGAACGCUGGCGGCAUGCUUUACACAUGCAAGUCGAACGGUAACAGGCCGCAAGGUGCUGACGAGUGGCGAACGGGUGAGUAAUGCAUCGAAACGUGCCCAGUCGUGGGGGAUAACUACUCGAAAGAGUAGCUAAUACCGCAUACGAUCUAUGGAUGAAAGCGGGGGACCGUAAGGCCUCGCGCGAUUGGAGCGGCCGAUGUCAGAUUAGGUAGUUGGUGGGGUAAAGGCUCACCAAGCCAACGAUCUGUAGCUGGUCUGAGAGGACGACCAGCCACACUGGGACUGAGACACGGCCCAGACUCCUACGGGAGGCAGCAGUGGGGAAUUUUGGACAAUGGGCGCAAGCCUGAUCCAGCAAUGCCGCGUGCAGGAAGAAGGCCUUCGGGUUGUAAACUGCUUUUGUACGGAACGAAACGGCUCUGGUUAAUACCCGGGGCUAAUGACGGUACCGUAAGAAUAAGCACCGGCUAACUACGUG
This 482-nucleotide ribosomal RNA is filed under the name uncultured bacterium. Its description in RNAcentral is "partial 16S ribosomal RNA". It matches the Rfam family "Bacterial small subunit ribosomal RNA", at positions 30 to 507 of the family's 1533-position model. The record is from RNAcentral.